AUUGAACGCUGGCGGCAGGCCUAACACAUGCAAGUCGAACGGUAGCACAGAGAGCUUGCUCUCGGGUGACGAGUGGCGGACGGGUGAGUAAUGUCUGGGAAACUACCUGGAUGGAGGGGGAUAACUACUGGAAACGGUAGCUAAUACCGCAUAAUGUCGCAAGACCAAAGAGGGGGACCUUCGGGCCUCUUGCCAUCAGAUGUGCCCAGAUGGGAUUAG
This 219-nucleotide ribosomal RNA is filed under the name uncultured bacterium. Its description in RNAcentral is "partial 16S ribosomal RNA". It matches the Rfam family "Bacterial small subunit ribosomal RNA", at positions 30 to 244 of the family's 1533-position model. The record is from RNAcentral.